This 1567-nucleotide long non-coding RNA is filed under the name Salmo salar (Atlantic salmon). Its description in RNAcentral is "lncRNA (ENSSSAG00000090104.1, ENSSSAG00000116134.1)". The record is from RNAcentral. Lineage: Eukaryota; Metazoa; Chordata; Actinopteri; Salmoniformes; Salmonidae.
CUGCAUUUUUUUGGGGGGGUCGCCGAUUACAUUGCACUCCACGAGGAGACUGCGUGGCAGGCUGACCACCUGUUAUGCGCGUGCAGCAAGAAGAAAUUGUCCUCCGCAGAGAGGAAUUACGACGUCUGCGAUCGGGAGCUCCUGGCGGUGAAGUUGGCAUUAGAGGAGUGGAGACACUGGCUGGAGGGCGCCAAGGAACCAUUCGUCAUCCUCACCGACCAUCAGAACCUAGAGUACAUACGGACAGCGAGGAGACUGAUUCCGCGCCAAGCCAGGUGGCACAUUUCUCCACCUGGUUCGACUUCACGCUGACCCAUCGCCCAGGUUCUAAGAACAUCAAGGCCGAUGCCCUGUCCCAUAUCUACGUUUCGGGAGAAGUUACUGUCCAGAAGGCACCCAUAAUCCCAUCCUCCCGAGUCGUGGAUCCAGUGGUUUGGGACGUAGAUGUGGACAUCCGCCAGGCUCUAGAGGGAGCCUGCAUCCCGAGCGUAUCUACGUUCCCAAAGGGGGUAAGGGAUCGGCUGCUGACCUGGGCACACACAGCUGUCGUUGCUGGACAUCCAGGUAUUUAUCGCAACAUCCACUCCAUUGCUGAGAAGAACUGGUGGCCUGUCUUGGUGCAGGAUGUCACUCGGUAUGUCAGCUCCUGUUCCAUUGGUGCUCAAACCAAGUCCCCCCGGAAUGCUCCAGCAGGGAAGCUCCUGCCGCUUCCCAUGCCUCAGCAACCUUGGUCACAUCUAUCCAUUGACUUUGUAACCGCGUCUGGUUCUCUACCAGGAACCUCCCACUCUGCCUGCCCUGCAAGAAACUGGUUUGUGUGGCCGGUCAAGGUUCUCUGGAGGGUCAACGAGGUGACGUACAGGUUACAACUACCCAGUCACUAUCGCAUCUCACCCUCUUCAUGUCUCCCUUCUCUGGCCGGUGGUUCCUGGUCCCCUAGCUGAUACUGUCUGCCACGACACUCACCCCGGAUAUUGAGGGGGGGUCCGGCGUACGCUGUCAGAUCCCUACUUGACUCCCGACGUUGUUGGGGUUGGCUCCAGUACCUGGUGGCCUGGGAGGGGUAUGGCCCAGAGGAGCGGUGUUGGUUUCCGUUGGAGGACAUUCUGGACCCCAAACAUCAUCCGUGAUUUCCACCUUCGCCGCACGGACCAACCCGCUCCUCGGGGUCGUCCCCCUGGUUGGCGUCGUCCUGCGUCUGGAGCCGCGCAUCAGAGGGGGACGGACAGACGGGUACUGUCACAUCUACGCCUCCCCUCUGGCGUACGACGUUGCCAGAAUACUAACCACAGGUCCUGGCACUCAUUACGCACACCUGUUAAUCAUUAUGAUUCACACCUGGGCUUCAUUUCCUUCCCUCCCUUAUGUUUUCUCACCUGUUGGUAUUGUUCUCGUUUACCGGCGUGUAGCCUUACGGAAUUAUCUCAUUCCUGGUUUUGUUAUAAUUAAACGUUUCACCUGCACCUGCUUCCCGACUCAGCUCUGUUAUUACAGCUAAAAUGUCUAAAAACAUGUUUUCACUUCGUCAUUAUUGGGUGUAGAUGGGUGAGAGAAAAUGUACUUCAUC